UACGGGGGGGGCAAGCGUUGUUCGGAAUUACUGGGCGUAAAGGGCUCGUAGGCGGCCAACUAAGUCGGACGUGAAAUCCCUCGGCUUAACCGGGGAACUGCGUCUGAUACUGGAUGGCUUGAGUUUGGGAGAGGGACGCGGAAUUCCAGGUGUAGCGGUGAAAUGCGCAGAUAUCGGGAGGAACACCAGUAGCGAAGGCGGCUCGCUGGGCCACACCUGACGCUGAGACGCGAAAGCGUGGGGAGCGAACAGG
RNAcentral lists this ribosomal RNA (253 nucleotides) under uncultured bacterium. RNAcentral's name for it is "partial 16S ribosomal RNA". It matches the Rfam family "Bacterial small subunit ribosomal RNA", at positions 524 to 776 of the family's 1533-position model. The record is from RNAcentral.